CCUACGGGAGGCAGCAGUGAGGAAUAUUGGUCAAUGGCCGCAGGGCUGAACCAGCCAAGUCGCGUGAGGGAAGACGGUACUACGGAUCGUAAACCUCUUUUGUCAGGGAGCAAAGGGCGCCACGAGUGGCGGGUUGAGAGUACCUGAAGAAAAAGCAUCGGCUAACUCCGUGCCAGCAGCCGCGGUAAUACGGAGGAUGCGAGCGUUAUCCGGAUUUAUUGGGUUUAAAGGGUGCGCAGGCGGAAUGUCAAGUCAGAGGUAAAAGUUCGGGGCUCAACCCCGUCGUGCCGUUGAAACUGGCGUGCUUGAGUGAGCGAGAAGUAUGCGGAAUGCGUGGUGUAGCGGUGAAAUGCUUAGAUAUCGCGCAGAACUCCGAUUGCGAAGGCAGCAUACCGGCGCUAAACUGACGCUGAGGCACGAAAGCGUGGGUAUCGAACAGGAUUAGAUACCCGGGUAGUC
This 459-nucleotide ribosomal RNA is filed under the name uncultured bacterium. RNAcentral describes it as "partial 16S ribosomal RNA". It matches the Rfam family "Bacterial small subunit ribosomal RNA", at positions 338 to 795 of the family's 1533-position model. The record is from RNAcentral.